UACUCUCACACUCUCUGAUCCUUUGGAUUGGGAGUGGUGGACUUGGGUGUUGCUGUUACUGCGCGGCUCACCUCAAAUGCAUUAGUGCAACUCCUGGUUGGACAUAGUACGGCGUGAUAAGUGUCUUCGCCGGCACCUUGUAAAAGGGUGGCCAAUUGGGAGCUCUGUGCUUUCAAACUGUCUUUGGACAAUCUCUGACA
RNAcentral lists this unclassified non-coding RNA (200 nucleotides) under uncultured Sebacina. RNAcentral's name for it is "sequence contains ITS2". The record is from RNAcentral. Lineage: Eukaryota; Fungi; Basidiomycota; Agaricomycetes; Sebacinales; Sebacinaceae.